Cygnus olor (mute swan) is the source of this 582-nucleotide long non-coding RNA. RefSeq lists it as uncharacterized. NCBI's taxonomy places the organism in Eukaryota, Metazoa, Chordata, Aves, Anseriformes, Anatidae. The transcript has 2 exons. The record is from RefSeq and is a predicted model, not a curated record.
CUGUUCCCAUGGGGCUCUGGGAUGCAGCAUAAAAGACCAUGCUCCUGCAGGCUCUGCAUCCACUUCUCUUCUCUCUCCCUUUCCUUGAGGAACGAGCUUUGCCUCCCUCGACGAGAGAUGUCUUGCUUCAGACCCUGUGUCCCAUCCCCCUGCGGUGCCUCUGGCCCAACCCCACUUGCAAGCAGCUGCAGUGAGCCGUGUGUCGCCCGGUGCGCUGACUCGACGGUUGCCAUCCAGGCCUCCCCGGUCGUGGUGACCCUGCCGGGCCCCAUCCUCACCUCUUUCCCUCAGAGCACCGCCGUGGGAUCCUCUCUGUCAGCUGCUGUUGGCAGCUCCCUCAGCACUGGGGGGGUUCCCAUCUCUUCUGGGGGCUCCCUUGGUCUGGGAGGGUCAGGGCUGUGUCUGCCUUCCCCACUCUGCCGCUUCAACUGCUGAAGCGCGGGGAUCAUCCCAUUUGGGGCAGACAUCCCUGAGAUGGGUGGGCCAUUCUCUCUGCCUCCCUGAACCCUGCAAACGUUCUUCUUGGUCUCUGUACUGUGCCACUGCAUUUCUACCUUCUCAUUAAAGACCUUGUGCAGCAUA